UGCUACUUUGCUGACGAGCGGCGGACGGGUGAGUAAUGCCUAGGAAUCUGCCUAGUAGUGGGGGAUAACGUUCGGAAACGGACGCUAAUACCGCAUACGUCCUACGGGAGAAAGUGGGGGACCUUCGGGCCUCACGCUAUUAGAUGAGCCUAGGUCGGAUUAGCUAGUUGGUGAGGUAAUGGCUCA
RNAcentral lists this ribosomal RNA (186 nucleotides) under sponge bacterium HP6. RNAcentral describes it as "partial 16S ribosomal RNA". It matches the Rfam family "Bacterial small subunit ribosomal RNA", at positions 78 to 267 of the family's 1533-position model. The record is from RNAcentral.